GACGAACCGUGCGAACGUUGUUCGGAAUCACUGGGCUUAAAGGGCGCGUAGGCGGGUCAGCAAGUCCGGGGUGAAAUCUUUCGGCUUAACCGGAAAAGUGCCUUGGAGACUGCUGGUCUUGAGGGAGGUAGGGGUCUGCGGGACUUCUGGUGGAGCGGUGAAAUGCGUUGAUAUCAGAAGGAACGCCGGUGGCGAAAGCGGCGGACUGGACCUCUUCUGACGCUGAGGCGCGAAAGCUAGGGGAGCAAACGGG
RNAcentral lists this ribosomal RNA (253 nucleotides) under uncultured bacterium. Its description in RNAcentral is "partial 16S ribosomal RNA". It matches the Rfam family "Bacterial small subunit ribosomal RNA", at positions 524 to 776 of the family's 1533-position model. The record is from RNAcentral.